GCUUAAAGCGACCGACGGACCGGCCCAGGUAACUUCAGCAGCAGGGUGAUCGAUCGGCAGGUCGCUUCAGCAGAGCGCCGAGGCAGCCGACCCGGCCAGCCCCUUCGCUUCCUCGUACGGCGCGUCGCCAUCGCGCCCCGGCCCUCGCUCGCUCCGCGCCCGAUCGCCGCCGCGCGCGCCGGUGGCGACCCGCUCCAAGGUUCGCGCCAGCCGCUGGGAGUGGGCACGCGGAAGCGCCCUGGCACUGAGACCUCCGAUGGGUGUUCGAUCAUUCGUUUCCAACUGAGUGAGCAAAGCAACAUAGCUACAACAAUGCUGGACCUGAUUUACAUGUUAGCUUGCGAUUUGGUGCUGGCCGAGAAUCCACAGGCUGAAGAGGUUCUCCGCUCCUCAACUCACCCAGAAAGGUUGUGUGCUGUUUGCAAAUUGGUGAUCCCGUCGCUGGAAGCGUCAUGGAAACCUGACAACUGUGAUCAUGUCAUCUGCAUUGCCUGCCUCUGCCAUUAUGCAGCCACGACAGAGGCCACCGGGCGGCCCAGGUGUGCGGUCACAUCUUAGUGAAUCUUUGUGCAAGUCAGUGUCACACCCGGUUUUAAGGACAAAACCGAAUGCAUAACUAUAUGUAUGUCAAGAUCAAGUUUCAUACAUAUAAAUACAUUAUAAGUGAAUAAUUAGUACAGUA
Long non-coding RNA from Panicum virgatum (switchgrass), 682 nucleotides. RefSeq lists it as uncharacterized. Lineage: Eukaryota; Viridiplantae; Streptophyta; Magnoliopsida; Poales; Poaceae. The transcript has 2 exons. The record is from RefSeq and is a predicted model, not a curated record.